Molecule: RNase P RNA, 336 nt
Filed under: Clostridiales bacterium
Lineage: Bacteria; Bacillati; Bacillota; Clostridia; Eubacteriales
Description: RNase P RNA component class A
Rfam family: Bacterial RNase P class A
About the family: Ribonuclease P (RNase P) is a ubiquitous endoribonuclease, found in archaea, bacteria and eukarya as well as chloroplasts and mitochondria.
Source: RNAcentral
UAAGUAAGUUGGAUGGCCGCGUGCUUUAGGCAUGAGGAAAGUCCGGGCUCCAUAGGGCAAGGGUGCCGGGUAACACCCGGUGGAGGCGACUCCAAGGAGAGUGCAACAGAAAUAAACCGCCGUAAAAUUUACGGUAAGGAUGGAAAGGUGAGGUAAGAGCUCACCGCUUCACCGGCGACGGUGAGGGCUCUGUAAACCCCACUCGGAGCAAGAUCAUAAAAACAUUAUGGGGCUGCCCGUCCCGUUUUUGGUAGGUCGCAUGAGCGGCUGCGGCAACGCGUCGCCAAGAUAGAUGGCUGUCCACGACAGAACCCGGCUUACAGACUUGCUUAUGAU